This 468-nucleotide ribosomal RNA is filed under the name uncultured bacterium. Its description in RNAcentral is "partial 16S ribosomal RNA". It matches the Rfam family "Bacterial small subunit ribosomal RNA", at positions 28 to 507 of the family's 1533-position model. The record is from RNAcentral.
GACGAACGCUGGCGGCGUGCUUAACACAUGCAAGUCGAACGGAAAGGCCCUGCUUUUGUGGGGUGCUCGAGUGGCGAACGGGUGAGUAACACGUGAGUAACCUGCCCUUGACUUUGGGAUAACUUCAGGAAACUGGGGCUAAUACCGGAUAGGAGCUCCUGCUGCAUGGUGGGGGUUGGAAAGUUUCGGCGGUUGGGGAUGGACUCGCGGCUUAUCAGCUGGUUGGUGGGGUAGUGGCUUACCAAGGUUUUGACGGGUAGCCGGCCUGAGAGGGUGACCGGCCACAUUGGGACUGAGAUACGGACCAGACUCCUACGGGAGGCAGAAGUGGGGAAUAUUGCACAGUGGGCGGAAGCCUGAUGCAGCAACGCCGCGUGCGGGAUGACGGCCUUCGGGUUGUAAACCGCUUUCGCCUGUGACGAAGCGUGAGUGACGGUAAUGGGUAAAGAAGCACCGGCUAACUACGUG